UACGAAGGGUGCAAGCGUUAUUCGGAGUUACUGGGCGUAAAGAGUAUGUAGGCGGUUUGUUAAGUUAGUUGUUAAAGACCACGGCUCAACCGUGGAAAGGCAGCUGAUACUGAUGAGCUAGAGCGCAGAAGAGAGGAGUGGAAUUCCCGGAGUAGCGGUAAAACGCGUAGAUCUCGGGAGGAACACCGGUUGCGAAGGCGGCUUCUUGGUCUGUGGCUGACGCUAAAGUACGAAAGCGUGGGGAGCAAACAGG
RNAcentral lists this ribosomal RNA (253 nucleotides) under uncultured bacterium. RNAcentral's name for it is "partial 16S ribosomal RNA". It matches the Rfam family "Bacterial small subunit ribosomal RNA", at positions 524 to 776 of the family's 1533-position model. The record is from RNAcentral.